CUGGCCGUAAACGAUGAACACUAGAUGUUGGGGGAAUCGACCCCCUCGGUGUCGUAGCUAACGCGUUAAGUGUUCCGCCUGGGGAGUACGCACGCAAGUGUGAAACUCAAAGGAAUUGACGGGGGCCCGCACAAGCGGUGGAGUAUGUGGUUUAAUUCGAUGCAACGCGAAGAACCUUACCAAGGCUUGACAUCCUGCGAAUCUCCAAGAAAUUGGAGAGUGCCUUUUGGAACGCAGUGACAGGUGGUGCAUGGCUGUCGUCAGCUCGUGUCGUGAGAUGUUGGGUUAAGUCCCGCAACGAGCGCAACCCACGUUUUUAGUUGCCAGCAUUCAGUUGGGCACUCUAGAAAGACUGCCGGUGACAAACCGGAGGAAGGUGUGGACGACGUCAAGUCAUCAUGCCCCUUACGCCUUGGGCUACACACGUACUACAAUGCUGCGGACAAAGAGUAGCGAUCUUGCGAAAGUUAGCUAAUCUCGUAAACCGUGGCUCAGUCCAGAUCGUAGGCUGCAACUCGCCUACGUGAAGGAGGAAUCGCUAGUAAUCGCAGGUCAGCAUACUGCGGUGAAUACGUUCCCGGGCCUUGUACACACCGCCCGUCACACCAUGGAAGUUGGCCAUGCCCGAAGUCGUUACUCUAACCUUUUGGAAGAGGGCGCCGAAGGCAGGGCUAAUGACUGGGGUGAAGUCGUAACAAGGUAGCCGUAGCGGAAGCUGCGGCUGGAUCACCUCCUAA
This 737-nucleotide ribosomal RNA is filed under the name Candidatus Synechococcus spongiarum. RNAcentral describes it as "bacterial SSU rRNA". It matches the Rfam family "Bacterial small subunit ribosomal RNA", at positions 796 to 1533 of the family's 1533-position model. Lineage: Bacteria; Bacillati; Cyanobacteriota; Cyanophyceae; Synechococcales; Synechococcaceae. The record is from RNAcentral.